RNAcentral lists this ribosomal RNA (601 nucleotides) under uncultured bacterium. Its description in RNAcentral is "bacterial SSU rRNA". It matches the Rfam family "Bacterial small subunit ribosomal RNA", at positions 730 to 1337 of the family's 1533-position model. The record is from RNAcentral.
UGGGGUGCAACUGACGCUGAGGCUCGAAAGUGCGGGUAUCAAACAGGAUUAGAUACCCUGGUAGUCCGCACAGUAAACGAUGAAUACUCGCUGUCGGCGAUAUACUGUCGGCGGCCAAGCGAAAGCAUUAAGUAUUCCACCUGGGGAGUACGCCGGCAACGGUGAAACUCAAAGGAAUUGACGGGGGCCCGCACAAGCGGAGGAACAUGUGGUUUAAUUCGAUGAUACGCGAGGAACCUUACCCGGGCUUGAACUGCACCCGACGGACGGAGAGAUCCGUCUUCCGCAAGGCGGGUGUGGAGGUGCUGCAUGGUUGUCGUCAGCUCGUGCCGUGAGGUGUCGGCUUAAGUGCCAUAACGAGCGCAACCCUUCUCUUCAGUUGCCAUCAGGUUAAGCUGGGCACUCUGGAGACACUGCCAUCGUAAGAUGCGAGGAAGGUGGGGAUGACGUCAAAUCAGCACGGCCCUUACGUCCGGGGCUACACACGUGUUACAAUGGGAGGUACAGAAGGCCGCGACCCGGCGACGGGAAGCCAAUCCCCAAAUCCUCUCUCAGUUCGGACUGGAGUCUGCAACCCGACUCCACGAAGCUGGAUUCGCUA